UACGUAGGGUGCAAGCGUUAAUCGGAAUUACUGGGCGUAAAGCGUGCGCAGGCGGCGCGUUAAGACAGGUGUGAAAGCCCCGAGCUUAACUUGGGAAUUGCGCUUGUGACUGGCGGGCUGGAGUGUGGCAGAGGGAGGUGGAAUUCCACGUGUAGCAGUGAAAUGCGUAGAGAUGUGGAGGAACACCGAUGGCGAAGGCAGCCUCCUGGGCCAGCACUGACGCUCAUGCACGGAAGCGUGGGGAGCAAACAGG
RNAcentral lists this ribosomal RNA (253 nucleotides) under uncultured bacterium. Its description in RNAcentral is "partial 16S ribosomal RNA". It matches the Rfam family "Bacterial small subunit ribosomal RNA", at positions 524 to 776 of the family's 1533-position model. The record is from RNAcentral.